Molecule: ribosomal RNA, 478 nt
Filed under: uncultured bacterium
Lineage: Bacteria
Description: partial 16S ribosomal RNA
Rfam family: Bacterial small subunit ribosomal RNA
Source: RNAcentral
GACGAACGCUGGCGGCGUGCUUAACACAUGCAAGUCGAGCGAUGAAGCUCCUUCGGGAGUGGAUUAGCGGCGGACGGGUGAGUAACACGUGGGCAACCUGCCUUAUAGAGAGGAAUAGCCAUCCGAAAGGAUGAUUAAUACCUCAUAAUAUUGUAGUUUCGCAUGAAGCAACAAUCAAAGGAGCAAUCCACUAUAAGAUGGGCCCGCGGCGCAUUAGCUAGUUGGUGAGGUAACGGCUCACCAAGGCGACGAUGCGUAGCCGACCUGAGAGGGGAAACGGCCACAGUGGAACUGGAACACGGCCCAGACGCCCACGGAAGGCAGCAGUGGAGAGAAUUGCGCAAUGGGGGAAACCCUGAUGCAGCAACGCCGCGUGAGUGAGGACGGCCUUCGGGUUGUAAAGCUCUGUCUUCAGGGACGAUAAUGACGGUACCUGGGGAGGAAGCCACGGCUAACUACGUGCCAGCCGCCGCCGUAA